UGGGGAAUUUUGGACAAUGGGCGCAAGCCUGAUCCAGCCAUGCCGCGUGUGUGAAGAAGGCCUUCGGGUUGUAAAGCACUUUCAGACGGAACGAAAUCGCGCGGUUGAACAUUCCGCGUGGAUGACGGUACCGUAAGAAGAAGCACCGGCUAACUACGUGCCAGCGGCCGCGGUAAUACGUAGGGUGCGAGCGUUAAUCGGAAUUACUGGGCGUAAAGCGCACGUAGGCGGAUUUGUUAGUCGAGGGUGAAAUCCUGAGGCUCAACCUCAGAACUGCCUUCGAUACUGCAAGUCUUGAGUCCGGGAGAGGUGAGUGGAAUUCCUAGUGUAGAGGUGAAAUUCGUAGAUAUUAGGAAGAACACCAGUGGCGAAGGCGGCUCACUGGCCCGGUACUGACGCUGAGGUGCGAAAGCGUGGGGAGCAAACAGGAUUAGAUACCCCCGUAGUCCCUGAGCGGGCUGGCAAGGCGCAU
RNAcentral lists this ribosomal RNA (472 nucleotides) under uncultured bacterium. RNAcentral's name for it is "bacterial SSU rRNA". It matches the Rfam family "Bacterial small subunit ribosomal RNA", at positions 355 to 825 of the family's 1533-position model. The record is from RNAcentral.